Molecule: long non-coding RNA, 425 nt
Organism: Vigna angularis (adzuki bean)
Lineage: Eukaryota; Viridiplantae; Streptophyta; Magnoliopsida; Fabales; Fabaceae
Exons: 3
Source: RefSeq, a predicted model, not a curated record
GAGAAAGAGAAAUUUGUUCUUUAUUAUGUAAAGCAAACCAAAGGGGGUGGUGUAUCUAGCAAUGACUGUAAAAGAUCCUGAUUUUGCACUUGAUAAACGUGAGAUCAACUUUCAAGAUUAAGCUAGGCCUACCCAUUUGCAUUUUGAAGGAUGAGAGCUUCCAGAUUGAGAAAUUCUGUGUAUCUUUCUCUCUUAGCUUUCUUCAUCGUGCUGGUAUGCCUCCUUCUAUAUCACUACCCUAGAUCACAUGAAAGUAUGCUUCUGUUCAGGCAUUCAUCAACUUACGACCCAGAGAAUGAAAAAUUAGGGGAUACGCUGAGGAGAGCUACGAUGCCAGACAGAACUGUUAUUCUAACAAUGGUAGAUGAAUCAUUGGCAAGUCCAGGAUCUCUCCUUGAAAUUUUACUACAAAGCUUCAAAUCAGG